AGAUAGCGCAACUCGUUUCCGUAUCCGUCCUUUUACUGGCGGUACACUAAUCAAGCAAAAUGACGGAGGGUGCAGUUACGAUUAGAACCAGGAAGUUCAUGAGCAAUCGGCUACUAUGCCGAAAACAAAUGGUCGUGGAUGUUUUCCACCCAGGUCACCCAUCUGUCCGUAAAACAGAAAUCCGGGAAAAACUAGCCAAAAUGUACAAAGUUACACCAGAUGUGGUCUUUGUAUUUGGUUUCCUAACAAAUUUUGGUGGUGGCAAAUCAACUGGAUUUGCAUUGAUUUAUGAUACAUUGGACUUCGCAAAGAAAUUUGAACCUAAAUACAGGUUAGCUAGGCAUGGACUGUAUGAGAAACAAAAGCAAACAAGGAAACAACGUAAAGAACGUAAGAAUAGGAUGAAGAAAGUUAGGGGUACAAAGAAGAGUAAAGUAGGAGCUGCUUCUAAAAAGGGAAGGAAGUAGUCAAAUGCUCAUCAUUUGUACUACAAACUUCAAGAAGGAACUUAAUUAUGAUGCUCAUACAUGUAAAAUGAAAAGACAUCAUGAAGGCCACACAUUGUUCAACAUCGGCGUAAAAAUUAUUAUAAUAAUUUAUUAUUACAACAUGAUGAUUAUGAUAAAUUUUACGGAAUAAACGUGUAUUCUUCUUGAUGAAAAAUA
RNA transcript from Megachile rotundata (alfalfa leafcutting bee), 665 nucleotides. It is a transcript of the gene named ribosomal protein S24, with no coding region annotated. Lineage: Eukaryota; Metazoa; Arthropoda; Insecta; Hymenoptera; Megachilidae. The record is from RefSeq and is a predicted model, not a curated record.